Molecule: ribosomal RNA, 3011 nt
Filed under: Ambystoma mexicanum (axolotl)
Lineage: Eukaryota; Metazoa; Chordata; Amphibia; Caudata; Ambystomatidae
Description: eukaryotic LSU rRNA
Rfam family: Eukaryotic large subunit ribosomal RNA
Source: RNAcentral
CUACAGCCUCAGAUCAGACGUGGUGACCUGAUGAAUUUAAGCAUAUUACCAAGCAGAGGAAAUGAAACUAACCAGGAUUCCCUCAGUAACGGCCAGUGAAGAGGGAAGAGCCCAGCGCCAAAUCCCCAUUCAGCGGCAGGUGUGGGAAAUGUGGAGUACAGAAGACCAACUCACCGGCAUCGCUCAGGGUGCUGAAGUCCCUCUGAUCGAGUCCAUCCCUGCAGACUAUGUUAGGCUGGUAGCAGCCUCUUGCACACCCGGAUCAGGUCUUCUUGGAGUCAGGUUGCUUGGGAAUGUAGUCCAAAGAGUGUGGUAAACUCUGUCUAAGGCUAAAUACAGGCACGAGACUGAUGGCCAACAAGUACCAUAAGGGAAAGUUGAAAAGAACUUUGAAGAGAUAGUUCAAGAGGGCGUGAAACCGUUCUGGUGGGGUCCGUGCAGUCCGCCCACAGGAUUCAACAUGGCAUUCAGGUCAGUCGACCUGGAACGGUGGAGGCCCUUGCAGGACUGCGGCCGGGGCACACCCAGCCACAGGAGGGCGCAUUUCCUCUGGCGGUGCGCCACGACUGGCUGGGAAGGCCCCAGGGGGCAGGUGGCUCUCUGCUCCAGCAGAGUUUUACAGCCCCCUAACAGCAGUUUUGCUGUAACCACAGGGCCGAGGGAGAUUGAGGGCCACUGUGCCCUUCUCCGGCAAGCGUCCUGGCCCCUGUUGGGGACGCCAGAGUGGUGACAGGAGACAGGACUGUGGUGGACUUCCCUCAGUGCGCCCCGACCAUGUCGUGCUGCUGGGCGAGGAGGCCCAAAAAGGACGCCAGGGGCCUGAGGGGAUGACGGUUAUCCACCCAACCUGUCUUGAAACACGGACCAAGGAGGGCCGAAUGAAACCCUUUGAAGUAAUGAUGGUGAGUGCCAGCAAUCGCCGAUUGCAGUGGGAUCCUGUUGCGGUGGGCGCUCCACCGACCCGUCUCACCCGCUCUGUCAGGAAGAUGGUGCAUGAGCGUAUGUGAUAGGACCUGAAAGAUGCUGAACUUGGCCUGGUGGAGGUCCGUAGCGGUCCUGAUGUGUAAAUCGGUCAUCCGACCUAGGUAUAGGGGCAAAAGACUAAUUGAACAAUCUAGUAGCUGGCUCUCUCCGAAGUUUCCCCUCGGGAUAUCUGGCGCACAGAAACCCCAGUUUUAUCUAGCAAAGCAAAUGAUUAGAGGUCUUGGGGCCUAAAUGAUCUCAACCUUUUCUCAAACUUUAAAUGGGUAUGAAGCCCGUCUUGCUGGCGUGGAGCCGGGCAUUGUAUGCAAGUGCACAGUGGGCAACUUUGGUAAGCAGAACUGGCACUGCGGGAUGAACCGAAUACCAGGUUAAGGCGCCUGAUGCCGGUGCUCAUCAGACCCCAGAAACAGUGUUGGUUGAUUAUAGGCAUCAGGAUGGUGGCCAUGGAAGUCGGAAUCCCCUAAGGAGUGUGUAACAACUUACCUGCCGAAUCAAUUAGGCCUGAAAAUGGAUGGCGCUGGAGCGUCAGGCCCAUACCCGGCCGGCGCUGAGAGCCACGGGGGCUAAGUUGCGACGAGUAGGAGGGCCGCUGUGGUGCGCACAGAAGCCGGGGGUGAGGGCCCGGGUGGAGCUGCCGCAGGGGCAGAUCUUGGUGGUAGUAGCAAAUAUUCAAACUAGAAAUUGUAAGGCUGAAGUGGAGAAGAGUUCCAUGCAGUUGAACAUGGGUCAGUCGGUCCUAAGAGAUGGGCGAGCGCCGUUCGGAAGGGACGGGCGAUGGCUUCCGUUGCCCUCAGCCGAUCAAAAGGGAGUCUGGUUUAGAUCCCCAAACCUGGAGUGGCAGAGACAGGGUCCCUUGCGGCAUCCAGUGCGGUAACACAAAUGAUCCAAGAGGAGCCAGCAGGAACCCUGGGGGGAGUUCUCUUUUCUUUGUGAAGGGCAGGGCACCCUGGAAUGGGUGAGAAAGGGGGCUGAGCCUUGGAAAACGUUGCUAUUCCGGCGGCAUCCGGUGAGCUCUCGCUGGUCCUUGAAAAUCCAGGGAAGAUGGUGUAAAUGUCGCGCCAGUCCAUACCCAUAUCCGCAGCAGGUCUCCAAGCCAAACAGCCUCUGGCAUUUUGGAACAAUGUAGCUAAGGGAAGUCGGCAAGUUGGAUCCGUAACGAUGCGAGCCGGGCCCUUCCUGUGUAUCACCCUAGCUGCAAUGAUCGCCUCUCUCGUUCCCCCUCCUGGGGUUCAGGGCCGGCAUUCUGCCUCGGCCGACACCUAGCAGCUGACUUAGAACUGGUGCGGACCUGGGGAAUCUGACUGUUUAAUUAAAACAAAGCAUUGCGAAGGCCCACGGUGGGUGUUUUGAUGUGAUGUGAUUUCUGCCCAGUGCUCUAAAUGUCAAAUUGAAGAAAUUCAAUGAAGCGUGGGUAAACCGCUGGGGUAACUAUGACUCUUAAGGUAGCCAAAUGCCUCGUCAUCUAAUUAGUGAUGUGUAUGAAUGGAUGAAUGAGAUUCCCACUGUCCCUACCUACUAUCUAGCGAAACCACAGCCAAGGGAAUGGGCUUGGCAGAAUUGUCGGGGAAAGAAGACCGGGCUGAGUUUUACUCUAGUCUGGCACUGUAAAUAGGCAUGAGAGGUGUAGGAUAAGUGGGAGGCCCUUGGGCUGCUGUUGAAAUACCACUACUGUUAUUGUUUUUCCACUUACCCGGUAAGGUGGGGGCUAGCCCCGUGGGGCUCUCGCUUCUGGCUUCAAGCACCUGGCACCUGCCGGGCACGACCCGCUCUGGGGACAGUGGCAGGUGGGGAGUUUGACUGGGGUGGUACACCUGUCAAAGGAUAACGCAGGUGUUGUCGUAACUUGACUCGUUGUGAAGAAUAUUUGGGCCUCUGUCCCCAAGUUCCACACGGAGAGAAGGAAAAUCACUCCUCGUGCGAGCCUUGAGGCCACAGGUGGUUGCUGUUCUUUCGCAGGACCAGACGCCGCUGAGGACCCCAGAGCUGUGGAAUGAAUUAGGUAUUAGUGCAAACAAACACAGUACUGU